Molecule: small nucleolar RNA, 127 nt
Filed under: Neogobius melanostomus (round goby)
Lineage: Eukaryota; Metazoa; Chordata; Actinopteri; Gobiiformes; Gobiidae
Description: Small nucleolar RNA SNORA49 (ENSNMLG00000025858.1)
Rfam family: Small nucleolar RNA SNORA49
About the family: The snoRNA ACA49 has no identified RNA target. NB genomic sequence 1-nt different from published.
Source: Rfam by way of RNAcentral
GGUCCCCUCUUACACCAGUACCUCCUGACACUGGAAAGUUCUGGUUUUCCAAGGGGAUAAAAUAAAUUGCUUCUUUCCCUCCCUGCUGGACAUUGUUCCGUUCAGGGCCUACAGACGAGCAGACAUU